AGAGUUUGAUCCUGGCUCAGGACGAACGCUGGCGGCGUGCUUAAUACAUGCAAGUCGAACGAGGGCCCGGAGCUUGCUCUGGUGACCCGAGUGGCGGACGGGUGAGUAACACGUGACCAACCUACCUUCGGGAGGGGGACAACCUGGGGAAACCCGGGCUAAUACCGCAUAUCGUCCAUGGGCCGCAUGGCCUGUGGAUAAAAGGGAGCCUCUGCUUGCAUGCUCUCACCCGAAGAGGGGGUCGCGGCGUAUCAGCUAGUUGGUGGGGUAAUGGCCUACCAAGGCAUCGACGCGUAGCGGGUCUGAGAGGACGACCCGUCACAUUGGGACUGAGAUACGGCCCAGACUCCUACGGGAGGCAGCAGUAGGGAAUAUUGCGCAAUGGCCGAAAGGUUGACGCAGCGACGCCGCGUGUGGGAGGACGCCCUUCGGGGUGUAAACCACUGUCAGGGGGGAAGAACUUCGUAGGCGUGAAUAGCGCUUACGGUUGACGGUACCCCCAGAGGAAGCGCCGGCUAACUCCGUGCCAGCAGCCGCGGUAAGACGGAGGGCGCAAGCGUUGUUCGGAUUUACUGGGCGUAAAGGGCAGGUAGGUGGUCUGUUAAGUCUUCUGUGAAAAUCCGGGGCUCAACCCCGCGAAAUGCAGGUGAAACUGGCAGACUGGAGACCGGUAGAGGCUAGCGGA
RNAcentral lists this ribosomal RNA (685 nucleotides) under uncultured deep-sea bacterium. RNAcentral's name for it is "bacterial SSU rRNA". It matches the Rfam family "Bacterial small subunit ribosomal RNA", at positions 8 to 665 of the family's 1533-position model. The record is from RNAcentral.